RNAcentral lists this ribosomal RNA (468 nucleotides) under uncultured bacterium. RNAcentral describes it as "partial 16S ribosomal RNA". It matches the Rfam family "Bacterial small subunit ribosomal RNA", at positions 28 to 507 of the family's 1533-position model. The record is from RNAcentral.
GACGAACGCUGGCGGCGUGCUUAACACAUGCAAGUCGAACGGACAGGCCCUGCUUUUGUGGGGUGCUCGAGUGGCGAACGGGUGAGUAACACGUGAGUAACCUGCCCUUGACUUUGGGAUAACUUCAGGAAACUGGGGCUAAUACCGGAUAGGAGCUCCUGCUGCAUGGUGGGGGUUGGAAAGUUUCGGCGGUUGGGGAUGGACUCGCGGCUUAUCAGCUUGUUGGUGGGGUAGUGGCUUACCAAGGCUUUGACGGGUAGCCGGCCUGAGAGGGUGACCGGCGACAUUGGGACUGAGAGACGGCCCAGAAGCCUACGGGAGGCAGCAGUGGGGAAUAUGGCACAAUGGGCGGAAGCCUGAUGCAGCAACGCCGCGUGCGGGAUGACGGCCUUCGGGUUGUAAACCGCUUUCGCCUGUGACGAAGCGUGAGUGACGGUAAUGGGUAAAGAAGCACCGGCUAACUACGUG